UUGAGCAGAUAUGGUUAAAAAUAAAGGCUUCUUGCCGUCAGGUCCUUCGGAGAUUCCUAUUCAGCGUAACCAAAUAAAGGAAAUUAUAUAUUCCUUACUUCCAGCUUGCAAAGAGCCUGAUGUAGAUUCUGGUAUUCCCUUUAAAGCGGAUGCAAUUAUUGCAAACCCCCCAGCAUAUGGGCAUACUCAUGUGGCGGAGGCACUGAAAAUACCUCUUCAUAUAUUUUUUACAAUGCCAUGGACGUAAGUCUUGUCUGGGCAAGUUGAGGGGGAAACACGUGUCGGUGUGUAUUAAGAAGAGAGGAAUUUAGACCUUGGUUUUGAAAGAGAGUACAAACUAAGCUUGUUUCUGGUUUGGGUAUUAAGAAGCUCGGGUACUAAGUCAAGGGUGAGGGUUUCAUGUUUCUACUUUGUGGUAUCCUCUAUCUAUUUUCUUUGUUUUGUUAAUCUCCUUAUUUGUUUUUACUUUGGAGUAUUGGGUUUUGGAUCCUAAUUAUAUGUUCUGUUAGUCAUCAACUCAGUAUGUGUUUCGAAUUGUGAAUUUGAUGGUUUUAUUGUGCUGCAAUUGUUAUGGAUCAUGAUUUGAGAAUUACCUAAAAAUUAAUUGUGUUUUCAAUCCUCUAGUCAACAAGAGAGUGGUGUUGGCAAUGUGCACAUUACAUAUGACGUGACCAUGAUUAGUGGCACGGUCAUUGAGCUGUGGUAGCUCGGGGGCUUUGGAAGCUUGAUUAUUUUCAUGUCUGAGUUUGCUGUGGCAACUGGUUGUGUUGGAGUGUAGAUUUUUCUGUGAUUAAUACCAGUGGGUUGAUCAUGACUUGAGUGAUAAAUUUUGGUGUUGUUUACUUUUCAUUUGGAGUACUGAUUGUUAGUCUUUACGUUUUCAUUUAUUUUUGUUUAGCUACUCACUGAGCUUUAGUUGUGCUCAUGCCUCCUUUAUUUUAUUUUUUUUGUUUCUUUGCAGAUACUUAGGUAGCAGGGUUGUGAAAAGAGUGCCCGAGUGUUAAGAGUUCUGUCUUUGUAAAUUUCCUUCUUUAGUUUUGAUGUUUUGGUGCUACUAGGCAUUAUCCCUUGCCGUAAGGGUUUUGAUCAUGUUUCUAUAUAGUUCAACUCUUGUAUAUAUGUAAUAUGUUUCUUUGGAGUGGUUUAGAUGGUACUAGCUUUGGUGUGCAAUUCACACCAUUUUUUUUUUUUAUAAAUGAAAUAUUCUUUUGCGACGGCAAAGUAUCCGUCGCAACAAAUUCA
Rosa chinensis is the source of this 1242-nucleotide RNA transcript. It is a transcript of the gene named sterol 3-beta-glucosyltransferase UGT80A2-like, with no coding region annotated. The transcript is spliced from 3 exons. NCBI's taxonomy places the organism in Eukaryota, Viridiplantae, Streptophyta, Magnoliopsida, Rosales, Rosaceae. The record is from RefSeq and is a predicted model, not a curated record.